CGUGGCGGGAACUGAUCGGACU
RNAcentral lists this non-coding RNA (22 nucleotides) under Arabidopsis thaliana (thale cress). Lineage: Eukaryota; Viridiplantae; Streptophyta; Magnoliopsida; Brassicales; Brassicaceae. The record is from RNAcentral.